RNAcentral lists this long non-coding RNA (124 nucleotides) under Callithrix jacchus (white-tufted-ear marmoset). RNAcentral describes it as "lncRNA (ENSCJAG00000052902.2)". Lineage: Eukaryota; Metazoa; Chordata; Mammalia; Primates; Cebidae. The record is from RNAcentral.
CUGGACUCUCUCCUGAGUUCAUGACUUAACCAGGCACUUCCGUCCUGUGGCUCUGCAUGGGUGUGGCUCUUCCUCUUGGGAACUAGAAACACCAGGAAAUGUGCAGCCACCUUGCAACUGUGAG